RNAcentral lists this unclassified non-coding RNA (5043 nucleotides) under Dimorphilus gyrociliatus. RNAcentral's name for it is "dgyrCDS13361". The record is from RNAcentral. Lineage: Eukaryota; Metazoa; Annelida; Polychaeta; Dinophilidae.
AAGAUCAACAUCAGGUCACCAGCCCAGAGCCAAGGCGAGAGAUAAAUUCUGCCUUUAAAUCUAUAAAUCAAGACUAUUUAAGUGAACAUUCAAUUGACAAUUUCUGGAUGUUGGAUUAAAUAGAUCAUUAUACAGUGAUUUAUAACGAUAUUUCUACCGUAAUAUCGUCCAUGUAUAAGUAUCAAGCACAAGAAUGACAAUGUGACAGUUCACUAUGAAAAUUAGUGAAUAUUUUGGCGCAGCUUUACUAUUUAUUACUGUGGCCACGCAAUGUGAGAGUCUAAGUAAUAUUCAUAUAACUGGAACAGCUAUACGAUAUAGUCCAAGUUCUAAUGACUAUGUAGCUUUGGAAGAUGGAUUUUUAGUUGUGCAUUGCGAAGAAAAAUCAAACAGCAUCACUGAUGUUUUUGUCAAAGUCAAGUUGCAAUCUAAUUUUUUAUGUUAUGUGAAUGAAAAAUACCCAUUGUCCAAAAGUGUUUAUGAUGAAUGUAAUAAUAUUAUGAAAAUACGUGUUGAAGAACAUCCGGAAAGUGGUGGAUAUAGAAAUCUCAGCUUUGCCUUUCGUACCCCUUGGCUGAAUUAUCAGCCUCGGAAAGAUUGUAGACAUUGCAGGGUAUGUUACUGUGCGAAACCUUCCUCAAAUGAUUCUAGAGGGGUAACUCUAUCUCCUCUUAGUUGGCCAAAACCCGCAAUUAUAAAAAAAUGCUAUUUAUACGAUUAUUCUGAUAUUAAUUGUGAAUGGGUUUUUGCUCACAAGCAGGCCAAGGGGACACUAUUGCCGAAAUUCAACACUGUUUUGUCUUUUAAAGACAAAUACUCUGGAGUAUAUGAGCUAUGUACGACAAAUAUCGCGCUAAACAAUUGCACAACUGACAUAGGAAACUUCGCUCAAAGUUUUGCUCAAAAAGACUAUCGAUUAAUGAUACGUGCUGAAUUGCAUAUAAAGUUUGAAAUGAAUUUCCCUAAAAAUUUUGACCUGAGCUCUCUAAACAAAAAUAAUGUCAAUCUUUCCAUGGAUAAAGAAAAUUCUGCAGUAACAUUCGCCUAUCCUUUUGAAGACAAAUACGUUUACAAAUUAGGAACAAACAAAUUAAUUCCUGGAAAACCCAUUGUUUAUGAAUGUGACAACUUGAAGGAUCCAAUUGUCAAUAGCACAUCAAUGAUAGUACCUGUUCAACCAUCAAAAAAUUUUUUGAAAGUGAAGCACCAUUAUGAUGUUGAACUGAAUCUCUACUGCAAAUUAUCAACCAACGAAGUGGCUGAAUCUGAUAAGAAAACUGUAUACGUCAUCACUGGAAAUGAAGAUUCAUGUGGAUUCUGCAAAUUUGAAAAUUUAGCCCCUGCAACAAAUUAUAGCUUAUUCAUGUCGUUAAUUAGGGUUGAUAACGAAAAGGAAUAUGGUAAAUCUAGUGAAAACACUGUUUAUACUUUUAUAACGAACACAACAGAACCCGAAGCUUUACCAGAGACUUUUUAUUAUAUUCAAAAUGGUAUUAAACCUUCCGUAUCUGUCAUCUGGAAUUCCUUAAGCAGGAGACUAGCUGGUGGAAAAACUGUAGCAUACAAAAUUACAGAGAAACACUUAACGACAAUUCUUAAUGCUGAUAUCUCAUGUUCGUUUGAGGACCUAUAUUCUAUAUGUAAAUUUAUAAGAAAGGGGCUCGACAGCAGUAUUAGAGUUGAAAGUACAUGGAAGAGUGAUCUUAGUUUUAACUUUUCCUUAUUGAGAGAUGUACCAGAUCAAAUUAAUUUACCUGCAAAUUGGGCAGAAAGGCAGCCGGAAAAUAUUUUGCUAACAGCCUACGUUGAUCGUUCAAUGAAUAAUAAUAAAGUUAUAAUUGUAUGGUCACAUUGGGUGAUGAAUGCUACAGAAUACAUUUUAAUUUUGUGCCGAAAUCAGGACAGUUUUCUUAAAGGUUGCACAAAUAACAUGGAAAGUUUUAAGAUUCCUCGAAAUGAAUCUUUAUUUGAAUAUUCAAUAAAAAUGGAUUUAACGGAAACUGUUAUGAAUAAUUUUAGUGUUGGUGUUUCGGUAAAGUUUAAAGAUGAUUUUAUGUCUGGUUUGCUUUUCUCUCCUUGUGUGUUUAAGCAGAAAAAUUUACAUUUUAAUGGUAUGAAAGGAGAUAAUGCUAUUGAAAAUAUAAAGACUAAAAUUAGAGGGAAGAUUUUGCAUUCUAUAGUAAACUUGAAGAAAAAUCCAUGCGAACUUGAUAUAUUCUUUACUUAUGUUGUAAUUUAUUUUUGUGUUUCCAAGAACGAUGUUUGCAUAGAAGAAUGCCAAAGGAAAAAAUUUUGGAUUAAGAAUAAGAGCACUAUGACAUUUGAUUUAGGCAUUUCCUCCUCCAAGGAAGUUUUAUUAUGGGGUAAAGUUGGAUCUCACCUAGGUGAAUCAACCAAUUCAAGUAAUUACCAGAAAACAGCGAACUUUUCAGGUAAACUUUCCAACUGAUAUAUAUUAUAUACAAUGUAUGUUAAACAUAAAAAAGGAGCUAGAACAAUUAAUUACAAAUACUCUGCCUCAGAAACAAAAAUAGACAAACAUAAUGGUAGUUUUCUACAAGAAUUUGCGCAAUUUUUUGUAAGAAAGUAGUGCCAUCUGUAAGUCGAAUAUAUGAAUUUAAUGUAUGAUUUUCUUUGAAGGAAAUUGUAUAGUCUAGUAGCUGCUGAUAGGAUACUAUACAACUUACGUAAGAGAAUUCUGUAUUUUUUUAAUACCUUAUAUAAAUUUUAGUAUGUAAAAAUUAUUCCCAAUAGAUUAACGAUUCAUUUGCAAUAAAGAGAAUAUUUUAUAUAGUUUUCAGAAUAUAGCAGUUUUGUUUUGUUUCUAUUCUGUUAUAUAGUUUAUUAUAAUGUAAAAUGUUGAAUGGCAAUUUUUUAUUACUACAACUAUUAUUUGUAUUGUUAUAAUAAUUAUAUUGUUCUUUCCUCAGCCGAAAACUCAUCAAAGGCAAAUCUAAUUGUUCUCGGUAUAGUGGGCUCAUUGAUACUGGUAAUUAUUUUCAUAGUCUUAGCAUGGAAGUUAAGAGCCGCCUUUUGGAAAUUUGUACAUUUCCCGAUAGAAACGGAUUUUCCAGUUAUUUUGAAUGAGGUAUCUUCGAGCCAUCCGAAUGGUGAUGAAGCGGCGAACGCUGAGCAACCUAACCAAGGAGCUACUCCGCUAUUACGGAAUGAUGAAUCUGUAACUGAUGGAGACAAGAAUUCGCAGGGUAGUGGUUCGGAGACUCCGAUUUAUGUUGAGAUAAAACAUAACAAAGGAUCGAAUGGUUAUUUAACAAAUGAACCUGAGAAAUUUGAAGAUGUUAGAGAAACAGCCAACGGCUACUUGCCAAGAGACAAUGUACACCUUUUAGGUCCUUGUAAUCCAAAUAGGACUAAUGAGGUAACUUUAGUGAAAGGAGCCACUGCUUCUCCUAUUUCUACUGAUACAAUGCAGCUCAAUGUAGAGAAUGGUUCUACGAACGGUCAAUCUAGUCAAUUGGGUGGGAGUUCGGGAUCCUACGUUGACCCAUCCGUGUUAUUUUCAAAAGGAAAAUAAUAAGUAAUAAUUUGUUUACGUUAUAUAGAGUAUUAUUUUGUUAAUAACAAAAAUUCGUUACUGGUAUUGUUCAUAGAAAUCUUUGUGUUUUAACUUAAGAGAAAUGUUUUCCAACUGCUAAAUAAAACAGUUUUCAGUUAUUACUACUUUAAGAUGUCUUCUCGCUUUGUUUUCUUUCUUUGAUAAAUACAUAAAGGAACGUUUUGGUGUUUUUAUAUUUGUUUUCUUAAGUAUAUCAUCUAUAUUUUCCUUUCUGUUUUCUUCACUUCGCUCUCCAUUUCCCUUUCUUUAGUAUUAAUUGUUAUGUUUAUUAUGCUAAAUUGAAAAUUGAUAUUAUGUUCUUACUAGUCUAAAGGAUUAAUGAAAAUUUAACUUCAAUUUUUUAACCAGUUUUUAACGAUAUUGAAUUUGUAUGAUACAAGUGGGGAAUUGGGGAGAAUAACAGUAAUAGUUUAUAUAUAUAUAUAUAUAUCAAUUUAUAUUGAUAAUCUUAUAGCAGAACAAAUUGUAUAAAAUGAACGUACUGUAUAUAUGUGAAUAGUUAUUUAUUUGUUUAUUUAAUUACUUAUAAGUGAUGUAAAAUACAAAGAAUGAUUUAUACAUAUGUAUAUACAUAAUUAUAUACAUUCAUACAACAACAUAUCUUUUUGUUUGUUUGUUUAUUUGUUUAUUUACCAUAUUUUAGUUACAAUUGAAUAUUUGAACAUAAUUUUUAAAAUAUUACUUUGUGGAUAGUUGAAAUAUAUGCCCACAGUGUUUUUAGUGUCUUUUAUUUUUUUAUUUUGAAAUCUAUCGCAAGAUCUUGAUUUUAACCUUCAAGGUGAAUUCUCUUACUUAUAUUUGACUUACUUUUAGACCUUCCGGAUGUAAUAUAUAGGCAAAAUAUUUCUUGUUCAGUAAUAUAUAGGCUAGUAUACUGUACGGGAUUUUUGUGGUAACGAUCAAUAACAGAAAGUUUACAGGCUUUCAGCAGUAAAAUCGAUAAAUUUGUACUGAGCAGAACAGGUUAGUUGAACAGGUAAAAGUACACUACAUUGAUAACAAAAGCUACGUCUGUAGAAAUAAAGAUAUCAGGUCAUUCGGUACAGUUAUUGUUUACAACAGAAAAUACCACGUUUUAUUGUUACCUAUUUAUACAGGAUAUUGUGGAGGGACUCUACCGAAACGUAAUCAACCUUCAAACGCUUUCCUAUUGUUCUAAACUCUUACUUUUAUUGUUCAAACAUAUUUUCUAAUAAAAAGAGAUCCUACAAAAAAAUAGUAAUAAGUUGAUUUCAAUGAUACACUCAGCUUUCACUUUUUUAGUUAAUUAAACAAAUUGAUCUACACAAAUACUUAAGAACUAAAGAGAGAGAGAGAAAAAGAAAAAAUAGCCAUUCUUCAGCUACUACACCUUAAACACAAGUUUUUUAAUAUUUCUUUGCAGGCGGAUACAAUAUUCAAAUACGUCGAUUAAUACCUUAUAAAAAUGCCUUUUUUUAAGUCUCCGAUUCAAUUCGGGGGAAAAA